CCUACGGGAGGCAGCAGUGAGGAAUAUUGGUCAAUGGACGAGAGUCUGAACCAGCCAAGUAGCGUGAAGGAUGACUGCCCUAUGGGUUGUAAACUUCUUUUAUAUGGGAAUAAAAUGUUCCAUGUGUGGGAUUUUGUAUGUACCAUAUGAAUAAGGAUCGGCUAACUCCGUGCCAGCAGCCGCGGUAAUACGGAGGAUCCGAGCGUUAUCCGGAUUUAUUGGGUUUAAAGGGAGCGUAGGUGGAUUGUUAAGUCAGUUGUGAAAGUUUGCGGCUCAACCGUAAAAUUGCAGUUGAAACUGGCAGUCUUGAGUACAGUAGAGGUGGGCGGAAUUCGUGGUGUAGCGGUGAAAUGCUUAGAUAUCACGAAGAACUCCGAUUGCGAAGGCAGUUCACUGGACUGCAACUGACACUGAGGCUCGAAAGUGUGGGUAUCAAACAGGAUUAGAUACCCGUGUAGUC
RNAcentral lists this ribosomal RNA (460 nucleotides) under uncultured bacterium. RNAcentral's name for it is "partial 16S ribosomal RNA". It matches the Rfam family "Bacterial small subunit ribosomal RNA", at positions 338 to 795 of the family's 1533-position model. The record is from RNAcentral.